RNAcentral lists this ribosomal RNA (468 nucleotides) under uncultured bacterium. RNAcentral's name for it is "partial 16S ribosomal RNA". It matches the Rfam family "Bacterial small subunit ribosomal RNA", at positions 28 to 507 of the family's 1533-position model. The record is from RNAcentral.
GACGAACGCUGGCGGCGUGCUUAACACAUGCAAGUCGAACGGAAAGGCCCUGCUUUUGUGGGGUGCUCGAGUGGCGAACGGGUGAGUAACACGUGAGUAACCUGCCCUUGACUUUGGGAUAACUUCAGGAAACUUGGUCUAAUACCGGAUAGGAGCUCCUGCUGCAUGGUGGGGGUUGGAAAGUUUCGGCGGUUGGGGAUGGACUCGCGGCUUAUCAGCUUGUUGGUGGGGUAGUGGCUUACCAAGGCUUUGACGGGUAGCCGGCCUGAGAGGGUGACCGGCAACAUUGGGACUGAGAUACGGCCCAGACUCCUACGGGAGGCAGCAGUGGGGAAUAUUGCAGAAUGGGCGGAAGCCUGAUGCAGAAACGCCGCGUGCGGGAUGACGGCCUUCGGGUUGUAAACCGAUUUAGACUGUGACGAAGCGUGAGUGACGGUAAUGGGUAAAGAAGCACCGGCUAACUACGUG